UCGCAGCUCCGCGAAACUGACAUCUCACCAUCCAAUUGGCCUGGUGCCCAGAAGCACCCUGGGAAAAAAUUUGAAUGCUCUUGGCAGUUGGGAUUCAGAUCUUGACGGUUGUAACUGAUGGACUGGGCUUGGGGAACUGCUGAUGAAAGUCAAAUUCCUUAGAGAAAAAAAAACCAUCCAAAUGUAGGUGAAGCUGUAGGUGAUAACAGCUUCCUAGAAUUUGUUAUGAGAGGACUGACUACUUGGAAGGACUCAGAGAAACCCCCAGCCCCCUCAUACGUCCCUCAUGGUCACCAUGUUCCCUCAAGAUAGCCACCCCAAGGAGAAUCAUCCCUGGGCCUCGGAGGAGAGAGAAAAACAAAAGGCCAUCAGCAACAGAUUGAAAAUUUGAAGUUCAAAGGGGUCUCCAAGAAUGUCAGCCGGGGUCAGAUGAGAAGGGAGUUUGACUCAAAAGACAUUUAUGGCACUUCUGCUCCAUGCCAAAAAACGCACUGAAGUCUGGAAGUGUGUGACACGACAGAGGAAGAGACUUAGGGCUAAGGCAGGCCUAGGAAGAGGCCACCUUCAGCAUAAGGUGGUGACGCGCUAGGAGGGAGGUGAUGUGAGACUCUCUGAUCUGGGUCCUGCCCGUAUCCUGGGGAUACGUCUUCUGUGUGACACUGGGUCAGGACCAGGCGCUGGCCAUGAGGAGCUUCUGGUACACAGAACAGGUGGUAGAGCCAAGGACACAGCCCAGUGAGCCUGCUCAGCGCAGCAGCCUGCCUUAGACCCAAAGAAGCGACAAUUCUUCAGAUACAUAGACGCCAUGAAUCACACGGGAAAACAAGUAGUGUGUCACGUAUCUCUGAGAGCACCUUCUCUUGGAAGUUAAGUCUGAUUUAGAAUUGAAGGCUCAUCCUAGUUUUAUUGCUUUGGGGACUUAGAAUUGCACGUCUCUCUUUCUAACAAUACAUUGACAUUUUCAAGGACAAUGUAUAUCUGGAGAUUAUCAUUAUGUACUUGAAUUAAUCUACUUGAAAAAUGUGUCAGAAAAAGCAUUUCAUGUCCUAUCCCAGACUGGCCGGGACUGGGUUCCAGAUUUUUUUUUUUUUUUCUGAAUGGCAUGUGAAAAUAUUUUAGCUGCGAGGACUUUUUGACAGACAACAGUUUUAACUCCUGCUGCAUAGGGGAUGGAAUUGUUGGCACUUCAAGGAAAGGAUUGUGUUUUUUACCUCCAUUUCACAGAUGAGGUAAAUGAAGGCAUCAAAAAAUUCAGUAUCUUCCCUGAGGUCUUGCCUGCCCUCAGUUGUCAAGUUGGUGGACUCAACAUGAAGGUCAAGCGUCUCAUUUUACAGAUGAGCUAACUGAAGAAUGAAGAAGUACCAAGAUAACCUGGGUUCUCCAUUCCAGACUUUGAAGCCUGGUGCUUCUGAGCUCAUGACCAGAAUGCUUUGUGUGACAUGUGGGUUGUCCUUGAGGAGAAGCCUCUGCUUUGGUGUCUCCCCUUCCCAAUGCAUCCUGCAUACAGUCACCCUGUAACACCUGACCCCCCUUCCCCCAACACACAUAAGCACCCCAGAAUGUGGUUUCCCAAGAGCUACACACAAUUGUCUCUGACUCUCUCUCUUCUGAUCUCUAUAAUUUCUUAGGCAUGGACCCCACAAUCCUCACUAGUAUACCUACAAGCUGUAUGCUUCUCUAUCUGUGUCAUUAUUUGCUAUUUCUCACUUGUCAGCAUGCCCUCUUCCUGCCAGAGCCUCAGGUCCCGAUACUAUUUGUCUUUAAGAUCCACCCCCAAUGCCACCUCCUUCAUGAAGUCAUUGGAUUGCCAGAGUUGUCUUGUCACUCUCACUGAUGGAUCGAGGUCAGGGUAGGGAAGAAAAGGGAAGGAAGAAAAUGGUGUGGGACUCAGAAUAGGAGACUCGAAGCUUGGAGACAGGGGCAGCCAUGCUGGAUCCCAAGACUAACCGACAGAGAGUCACAGCUUAGGAAGUGCUUCCUGUGUCUUGAAGCUGUGCAGCAUCACCGUCUCCUUCAGUCCUCACAGUGAAUCCUCAGGCUGCUGCAGCUGGGAUUCAAUCCAGUUGUGCCUCAAGUCAAAUCUGUGUUCUCCCUAACUGUUGUGUUGUCUUCUAAGACAAUUGGCCAUUGGGUAGGAAAAGAAUCUGACCAUCCUCAAAAUGGAGGAUUAAAGUGAUGAAACAAAA
Molecule: non-coding RNA, 2186 nt
Organism: Ictidomys tridecemlineatus (thirteen-lined ground squirrel)
Lineage: Eukaryota; Metazoa; Chordata; Mammalia; Rodentia; Sciuridae
Source: RefSeq, a predicted model, not a curated record